Molecule: ribosomal RNA, 301 nt
Filed under: uncultured bacterium
Lineage: Bacteria
Description: partial 16S ribosomal RNA
Rfam family: Bacterial small subunit ribosomal RNA
Source: RNAcentral
CAGCAGCCGCGGGAACACGGAGGGGGCUAGCGUUGUUCGGAAUUACUGGGCGUGAAGCGCACGUAGGCGGUUUCUUAAGUCUGAUGUGAAAGCCCCCGGCUCAACCGGGGAGGGUCAUUGGAAACUGGGAAACUUGAGUGCAGAAGAGGAGAGUGGAAUUCCACGUGUAGCGGUGAAAUGCGUAGAGAUGUGGAGGAACACCAGUGGCGAAGGCGACUCUCUGGUCUGUAACUGACGCUGAGGAGCGAAAGCGUGGGGAGCGAACAGGAUUAGAGACCCGCGUAGUCCCUGUCUCUUAUAA